UACGGGGGGGGCAAGCGUUGUUCGGAAUUACUGGGCGUAAAGGGCUCGUAGGCGGCCAACUAAGUCGGAUGUGAAAUCCCCAGGCUCAACCUGGGAACUGCAUCCGAUACUGGAUGGCUUGAAUUCGGGAGAGGGAUGCAGAAUUCCAGGUGUAGCGGUGGAAUGCGCAGAUAUCGGGAGGAACACCCGUGGCGAAGGCGGCACUCUGGGACGGUACUGACGCUGAGACGCGAAAGCGUGGGGAGCAAACAGG
Molecule: ribosomal RNA, 253 nt
Filed under: uncultured bacterium
Lineage: Bacteria
Description: partial 16S ribosomal RNA
Rfam family: Bacterial small subunit ribosomal RNA
Source: RNAcentral